AGUGUUGGAGCUAGGGUUAGGGUUGGGCUUGGAGCUAGGAUUUUUCUGAGUGCACUGAACCAACUCCCGAGUCUCUAGGACGUUCCUAAAAAAUUUUGAUUUUUUUCCCAUAGGAAUGCAUGGGUUAGGGCUAGUGUUAGGGUUGGAGCUAGGGUUAGGGUUAGGGUUAGGGUUAGGGUUGGAGUUAGGGUUAGUGUUGGAGCUAGGGUUAGGGUUGGGCUUGGAGCUAGGAUUUUUCUGAGUGCACUGAACCAACUCCCGAGUCUCUAGGACAUUCCUAAAAAAAUUUGAUUUUUUCCCAUAGGAAUGCAUGGGUUAGGGUUAGGGUUAGGGUUGGAGCUAGGGUUAGGGUUAGGGUUAGGGUUGGAGUUAGGGUUAGUGUUGGAGCUAGGGUUAGGGUUGGGCUUGGAGCUAGGAUUUUUCUGAGUGCACUGAACCAACUCCCGAGUCUCUAGGACGUUCCUUAAAAAAAUUUGAUUUUUUCCCAUAGGAAUGCAUGGGUUAGGGUUAGGGUUAGGGUUGGAGCUAGGGUUAGGGUUAGGGUUAGG
Molecule: non-coding RNA, 548 nt
Organism: Xyrichtys novacula (pearly razorfish)
Lineage: Eukaryota; Metazoa; Chordata; Actinopteri; Labriformes; Labridae
Source: the annotation of a GenBank genome assembly